GGCCGGCCCUCACCAAAACUUCUGAUGAGCCCUUAGCCCCAGGAAAUAUCUGAAUUGCAGACUGGUGUGAUCCUAAGCAGAAAACCCAGGUCUGCCAAGAGGAAUUGUACUUCAAGGAACAGUGUUUAAUGAAUUGAGUUGUGAGUGCCUCUGGCUGUGCUAGGCGGGACGCCACCUCAGUGUGGCUUGAUGAGUGGUGCCAUGUCCACCUCCAGGAUCUGAACUGGUGAAACCCUGGGCCACCAAAGUGGAGCGCAAGAACUCAACCACUCGGCCAUGGGGCCGGCCACUUCAAGACCUAUUUUUCAAUGUGUGUAUAAGUGGGCCUUCAUAUGCUUUGUUUCCCAGACGUUUUUUUUCUCCUGCCUUCACAAGUAAAGAG
RNAcentral lists this long non-coding RNA (382 nucleotides) under Equus caballus (horse). RNAcentral's name for it is "lncRNA (ENSECAG00000058040.1)". Lineage: Eukaryota; Metazoa; Chordata; Mammalia; Perissodactyla; Equidae. The record is from RNAcentral.